AGAUUGAACGCUGGCGGCAUGCCUUACACAUGCAAGUCGAACGGCAGCACGGGAGCAAUCCUGGUGGCGAGUGGCGAACGGGUGAGUAAUACAUCGGAACGUGCCCAGUUGUGGGGGAUAGCCCGGCGAAAGCCGGAUUAAUACCGCAUACGACCUACGGGUGAAAGCGGGGGAUCGCAAGACCUCGCGCUAUUGGAGCGGCCGAUGUCGGAUUAGCUUGUUGGUGGGGUAAAAGCCCACCAAGGCUACGAUCCGUAGCUGGUCUGAGAGGACGACCAGCCACACUGGGACUGAGACACGGCCCAGACUCCUACGGGAGCAGCAGUGGGAAUUUGGACAAUGGGCGCAAGCCUGAUCCAGCCAUGCCGCGUGCGGAAGAAGGCCUUCGGUGUAACCGCUUUGUCAGGGAAGAACGGU
Molecule: ribosomal RNA, 417 nt
Filed under: uncultured soil bacterium
Lineage: Bacteria
Description: bacterial SSU rRNA
Rfam family: Bacterial small subunit ribosomal RNA
Source: RNAcentral